RNAcentral lists this RNase P RNA (400 nucleotides) under Prauserella marina. Its description in RNAcentral is "Prauserella sp. Ms498 Bacterial RNase P class A". It matches the Rfam family "Bacterial RNase P class A". From Rfam's summary of the family: Ribonuclease P (RNase P) is a ubiquitous endoribonuclease, found in archaea, bacteria and eukarya as well as chloroplasts and mitochondria. Lineage: Bacteria; Bacillati; Actinomycetota; Actinomycetes; Pseudonocardiales; Pseudonocardiaceae. The record is from Rfam by way of RNAcentral.
CGAGUUGGCCGGGCGACCGCGCCGCCGCGCCCCGUGAGGGCAGGCGCCGAGGAAAGUCCGGACUCCGCAGGGCAGGGUGGUUGUUAACGGCAACCCGGGGUGACCCGCGGGACAGUGCCACAGAAAACAGACCGCCCCGCGAUAAGCGGGGUAAGGGUGAAACGGUGGUGUAAGAGACCACCAGCGUCCCGGGCGACCGGGACGGCUAGGUAAACCCCACCCGGAGCAAGACCAAGAGGGGGUCACGCGCCCCUGCGCAGGCGUUCGAGGGCGGCCCGCCCGAUGCCUGCGGGUAGGUCGCUUGAGCCUGCCGGCGACGGCAGGCCGAGAUGGAUGGUCGCUCAUCGCGGCGCCGAGAGGUGCCGCGGGACAGAAUCCGGCUUACAGGCCAACUCGUCCG